This 440-nucleotide ribosomal RNA is filed under the name uncultured bacterium. RNAcentral's name for it is "partial 16S ribosomal RNA". It matches the Rfam family "Bacterial small subunit ribosomal RNA", at positions 338 to 795 of the family's 1533-position model. The record is from RNAcentral.
CCUACGUGAGGCUGCAGUGGGGAAUAUUGGGCAAUGGGCGCAAGCCUGACCCAGCAACGCCGCGUGAGGGAAGACGGUUUUCUGAUUGUAAACCUCUGUCCUCUGUGAAGAUGAUGACGGUAGCAGAGGAGGAAGCUCCGUCUAACUACGUGCCAGCAGCCGCGGUAAUACGUAGGGAGCGAGCGUUGUCCGGAUUUACUGGGUGUAAAGGGUGCGUAGGCGGCUUGGCAAGUCAGUAGUGAAAUCCAUGGGCUUAACCCAUGAACUGCUAUUGAAACUGUCGAGCUUGAGUGAAGUAGAGGUAGGCGGAAUUCCCGGUGUAGCGGUGAAAUGCGUAGAGAUCGGGAGGAACACCAGUGGCGAAGGCGGCCUACUGGGCUUUAACUGACGCUGAGGCACGAAAGCGUGGGUAGCAAACAGGAUUAGAUACCCUUGUAGUC